AUACAUACAUGACAGAUGAGACUCCAUGAUGAUGAAGGUGGUUUUCCCAGGGUGAGGCUCAUCCCUUGCACUCCUGAUGUGUGAUCCCCAGGCUUUCCUCAAACAGAAGAAACUCAGCUGCCCCAAUUGUGGUGAGGACUAUGGCGGUUAUACUUUCUCCUA
Rattus norvegicus (Norway rat) is the source of this 162-nucleotide small nuclear RNA. Ensembl annotates it as U1 spliceosomal RNA. The record is from Ensembl. NCBI's taxonomy places the organism in Eukaryota, Metazoa, Chordata, Mammalia, Rodentia, Muridae.